GACGAACGCUGGCGGCGUGCCUAAUACAUGCAAGUAGAACGCUGAAGGAGUAGCUUUCUUCUCUGGAUGAGUUGCGAACGGGUGAGUAACGCGUAGGUAACCUGCCUGGUAGCGGGGGAUAACUUUUGGAAACGAUAGCUAAUACCGCAUAAGAGUAGAUGUUGCAUGACAUUGGCUUAAAAGUUGCAAUUGCAUCACUACCAGAUGGACCUGCGUUGUAUUAGCUAGGGGGUGGGGUAACGGCUCACCAAGGCGACGAUACAUAGCCGACCUGAGAGGGUGAUCGGCCACACUGGGACUGUGACACGGCCCAGACUCCUUGGGGAGGCAGCAGUAGGGCAUCUUCGGCAAUGGACGGAAGUCUGACCGAGCAACGCCGAGUCAGGGAAGAGGGUUGUCGGAUCGUAAAGCUCUGUUGUAAGAGAAGAACGAGUGUGAGAGUGGAAAGUUCACACUGUGACGGUAUCUUAUCAGAAAGGGACGGCUAACUACGUG
RNAcentral lists this ribosomal RNA (495 nucleotides) under uncultured bacterium. Its description in RNAcentral is "partial 16S ribosomal RNA". It matches the Rfam family "Bacterial small subunit ribosomal RNA", at positions 28 to 507 of the family's 1533-position model. The record is from RNAcentral.